CGGUAGCAGGGAGAAAGCUUGCUUUCUCCGCUGACGAGCGGCGGACGGGUGAGUAAUGUCUGGGGAUCUGCCUGAUGGAGGGGGAUAACUACUGGAAACGGUAGCUAAUACCGCAUAACGUCGCAAGACCAAAGUGGGGGACCUUCGGGCCUCAUGCCAUCAGAUGAACCCAGAUGGGAUUAGCUAGUAGGUGGGGUAAUGGCUCACCUAGGCGACGAUCCCUAGCUGGUCUGAGAGGAUGACCAGCCACACUGGAACUGAGACACGGUCCAGACUCCUACGGGAGGCAGCAGUGGGGAAUAUUGCACAAUGGGCGCAAGCCUGAUGCAGCCAUGCCGCGUGUAUGAAGAAGGCCUUCGGGUUGUAAAGUACUUUCAGUAGGGAGGAAGGUGUGAGCGUUAAUAGCGUUCACAAUUGACGUUA
RNAcentral lists this ribosomal RNA (423 nucleotides) under Edwardsiella ictaluri. Its description in RNAcentral is "bacterial SSU rRNA". It matches the Rfam family "Bacterial small subunit ribosomal RNA", at positions 67 to 477 of the family's 1533-position model. Lineage: Bacteria; Pseudomonadati; Pseudomonadota; Gammaproteobacteria; Enterobacterales; Hafniaceae. The record is from RNAcentral.